Equus caballus (horse) is the source of this 5588-nucleotide long non-coding RNA. RefSeq lists it as uncharacterized. NCBI's taxonomy places the organism in Eukaryota, Metazoa, Chordata, Mammalia, Perissodactyla, Equidae. The record is from RefSeq and is a predicted model, not a curated record.
GAAAUAAUAUAUGUAAAAUCUGUACUCAGUACAGAAAAUAUUGGUUCUCUCCUUUUCUUCCCUCCUCCUCCCAGGGGGGGAACCGCUCUCAUCUAAACUCAGUGCAGCUCCCCCAGCUGUUCCCUGAGAUCCUGGUUUCGAGCCUCCACCUGGUCCCCAGCCCCAAAACUAGGAGCCCAGCCUCCCUCCACCCUCAGCAACUCUCUGCUCCUUUCCUGUGAGCUGUCAGUGCCUGGCCAGGCCACUGCACCCUCACCUGGUACAUGCCGGAUGCUGCUCUGCUGCUGGUCCAGCCCUGGUGUCACACUGGCUGACAGAAAAUACUCCUCUGGUAACCAAGGACUCAGGACAUAAACAACAGGAACCAGGGAUCACCCAGAGUGCAGAGUGAGGAGGAAUCCCUCGAAGGUUUUAUGGCAAAGUGGCCCCAAAGCAGAGGAAGGAUGAGGUCGGGGGCAUGCUGGAGAAUGGGAGAGAAGCCGCUCUGGUGAGGAAACUAAGACGCCAAAGAAAUUUAGCAACCUCCCCGGGGUUGCACAGCUAGGAAGAGGCAGAGCCAGUUUUCCACUCCAGCCUGACCAACUCCACAUCUGAGCUCCUGGCGUGGAGGCACCACACUGUGCUGACCCCUGGUCAACUGCAUGUGAAAGGGAAGCCCCCUCAGUAAGUGUUUUCCCACUCACCCGGGCUGGAGCUGGGAUAGCUCUCACCUGCCCACUCAGGCGUCCUGCCCUGCUGGCUGGGGUCCACUGCUCCAGCUCCCUAUUCCCCAGUCUUUGGUCUGGCAUGUGGCCCCCAGGAUGGCUUCUGCUGUUCCGGAGAAGACCCUAACCCCAGAAAAGCCUCUGAGGGGGCAGUACUCUUCCAGAAGAGCUGGAUCCCUAUGGGUCUCCCCCAAACCAAUCAGAGCCUCAGAGCCUGACAUUGGCCCAGCUCCCCUGAUCUUGGCCCCCAUCCAGGAGGGGUGCCCGAAAGAGCUGGAAGGGACCCCAGCUACUUGUUUCAUUUGCUGAUGCUGCAAAAGGACCCACAUUUGUUGCCCAGGAUGUUGCCCUUAGGAGAGGCCUUUGGGGGGUCCCCCUACCUCUGUACCGGGACCUCCUCUGAGGAAGCCCCAAAAGGCAGAGGGAGGGCCCCUCCAAGCACAAGUCUCCCCCAGGGUUGGCCUUUCCCCCCGUGAUGAUCAGGCCUGACCCGGGAACCUGUGCUCUGAGCCACACGCCCCCUGCGUCCUCCCGUUUGCUCAGGCUCUGCCCUUAUCUCAGUGGCAUCUCUGUGGAACUCCUUGGGGUGACUCCCUGCCAUGAGAAACAUUUUCCAGAGGGUUUUCCUCCUGGGGUGACUAGUUUUGGAAUCCCUGAGUCACGUCGGCUUCCACAGAAUCCCUGGGGGUGUGGGGAGACGGGGGUGGCGAAGGGGACAAUGGUGGAGGCAGAAGCAAAGGAAAGUUCGCCCAGCACCUGACAUCAAGGGUGCCUUCCACUGUGAGCUCAUCUGCCCGGCCCGACCUGGCAACCAGAGGGGACCUGCUGGGAGUCCCACCCCGGAGUGCUGGGAGGAGCGCCGUGCACCUGGCAGGAAAGGGCAGGGAAGAUGUAGGGGUGGAAAACACUCCCACCUGCGACCAGGAAAGGCUCAAGGGGCUUGCAGGAAGCGAGAAUAUGGCGGUCCUGCCCUUUCUCAGAAGGACAUUCAAAUCCCCACCUGCUGCCAGGAAGUCCUGACCCUGCCUCUGAUCAGCUCUUGACCGUGGGCCCUCUCUGGUCCUCUUUCCUCAUUUAUAGAAGUGUGUAUGUGCUUUUUGGGGGGCAAGUGGGGUAAUCCAGACGAAAACAAAAGCACCAACCAGCUUAGCUGCUCUGGACCUCAGCUCCUGAGGUAGAGCUGAAACCACAGGCCUCAGCAGGGUCUGCUGAAGCUCAUCACACUCACCCGAUGUGAGGUGGGGGCACCGGUGGUUAAAAUGCCGCCAUACUUCCACCUCUGCUGGUACAUUGAUGCUGUCCUCAGUCCUGGGGCAACCCCAUCACAACCUCCCUGUGAUCCAGCAACUAAAGGGUGAAUGCCCCGCCCAGAUGGGGGCCUCCAGAACACUGCUCCCAUGCCCCAGGAUUGGUGGGUGAACAUGGUACUGGUUGCUAGUUACCUGUAGUAUCCCCUUUAGUUACAAAGAUGCUGAGGCUCAGAAGCCUACCUUCAAAGAGAACCCAGGCUGGCCUGGGAAACUCCCAGAGAAUCAGAGUGAACAGGACAAGAAGCCCCACGACUCCCUCCCCCACCAUGUGCCCCGUGCCUCCCCACCGAGAGCCCUCGGCUUACUCAGCUUCGUCCUCCAGUCACAGCAGCCCUGUCCAUUAAUUCAUUCACCAAAUAUUUAUGGAGUACCUACUAACACACCAGGCACUAUUCUAAAACCUGGGAAUGCAGAGGAUGGCGAGAGCCAGAUAAGGUCUUUGCCUUGUGAAGCUUACAUUUUAGGAGAAGACAGAUGAUAAACAUGGAAACAAGACAAUUUCCGAUAAUAAUAAGUGGUAUGAAGAAAAUGAAACAGUGUUAGGAGAUAAGCAGUUAUGAGGGGGAGGGAGAGGACGGAGGGGCUGCUUUAACUUGGAGAGCCAGGGAAGGCCUUCCUGAGGAUGCAGAAUUUGACGUUUGAGGGAAAAGGGAAGAGUGGUCCAGGCCGAGCGAGCAGGGCACGUAGAGUCCUGGAGGUGGGGAAGAGCUCCACGUAUUUGAGAAACAGAAAGGACAGUGGGGAUGGAGAGCAAAGACUAAGGGGAAAGCAGGAUGAGAUGAGAUGAAGAGGUGGGCAGGGCCAGAUCACAUAGGAUCCUAGAGGCUGCGGUGGAGCAUUUGGUUGUUAUUCCAAAGUCAGUGGGAAGGUAUUGACCAGAAUCAAGCACGAUCUCCAUGAUGUGAGUUCUUCGAGGGCGGGCACCCUCGCCUCAACAUUCUGCUGCCUGCACAGCGCUGGCAUCAAAUAACAAUCCUGACAGUUGCUUUGAUCCAACAUCUGCUCAUCAUGGGCCAGGCACCUUCUCAGGAUUCUCUGAACCCUCACAACAAGCUCACGCGGUCGGUUCCAUAGUUGUCCCACUUCACAGACAGGGAAGCAGGGGCUCCAAGAGGUCAUGGAGCCUGCAAGGUCACUGGCUAGUGACGGAAUCAGGAUUAGAACCCAGGCACUCCCAGUUCUAGAGGAGAACUGGGAGAAUCUGUGAGCACCUGAGACAUUCUGAUUAGCAGGAGAGACCAGAACAGGUCAAGGAAGGCACAGGGGGAAGAGGAAGAGACCAGCCAGUGGACACUGCUGGGAAGGGGAAAGAAGCCUGGGACCCAGAAAGCCAGAUGGAGGGGUUCCUUUCCUUUCUACCCCUUGAGUACGUUAGGGGCAAGACCCAAAGCUGAGGGCCUGGCUGCCUGGGGCUGCCACCCACCCACAGUCUUAGUGACUGGCCCACCCUGGCUUUUUCCCAACCUUGCCUAGAGCCCAGAACUCUCCCUGAACAGGUUAGAAUCACCUUUAACUCCUCUGAAGGAGAGGGCAGAGAUGAAGCAUAAGGACAGGGAAAAGGCUCCUCCUGCCCUGGACAAAGAAACAUUGUCAGCUUUCAUGAAAGCACAAUUAGGGGGAGUUGGGGGUGGAGCCAAGGUGAAGAUGAAAAGACAGGAGGGCAUCACUGUGCUGGGCACUCCUCACCGAAGUGACUGUUAGAGAUGAGGAAUCAGACUCAGCUGUUAUAUAACUUGUCCAAGGUCACCCAGCUAAUAAACCAGGAUUCACUCCCCAGUCCGACUAGCUCCAUUCCAUGUGUGGGCAUGCCAGCAGCACAGUCUUGUCUUCCGUCAGGUUUGCUCUCUGCUCCCCCCACUACCUUUCUCCAGGCACUGAGCUCUGAGCAGGGAGCCCCAUCACCCACCUCCCAAACCACCAUUUUACCUGCUCCCAGCAAUUAUUUCCUGCUAAGCCUUUUCUGGCCUCCAUCUAUUCCCCCUGGUGCCAGUCAGAGCGUUCAUCUUUGGGAACUGGGUUUCCCGCCCACCUCCAUCUUGGACCCCAGUGUGCCUUGGCAGUCCCCUGGGCAGAGAUCAUAUCAAGUCACUUUCCAGCAGCUGAAUGUCUGUCUUGCAGGAAGCCAGGCCUGCCAGGGCUGGGGUCUGAAGGAGGUUGGACCAGGGUGGAGCUGGAAUGGGGAAGCUCUCCCUUCAGACGCAUCUGGAAAUUUAAAAGUUCCUCUACGUCCUAAGGGAGCCUAGGUCUGUACAGGAUUCCCAGCCCCACGCCCAUGUCUGCACCCCAUCUCUGAGCCAAGCCCAGAACCAAUAUUGUCCAUCCCCAUGUUCACCCCAGAAUCGCUCUCUAUUCCACCCAUAAAUUCCACCCUUCCCCUUUGCAGAGGGCUCUUAUAGGUGCCCAGGCAGCAGGGAGGGGAAGGCUCAAGGACAGGUGUUCCCCCUCCCCUCCUGGAAAUGCCUAGAUUAUAGGCCUGUGGAAUGUGGGGAGGGAGGAGGGGAGCAUGUGCCCAAGGCCCCAGGUUCACAAAGGGGCUUAAAUUAGACUUCUGAUGUUAUCUCCAAAUGACGUUAUACAUGGAGUCCUUGUCUGUUUCAUGUGUUUGAAAUGUUAAUUUGUUCUAUGUAAACACUGAAAAUACACUACAGCUUUUCAAUCCUGUUUGGCCUCUCACUUUUAAACACCAGGAACCUCAAAAACGGAAGAAGGAAGGCUUCCCUAGAGCCUCUGGAGGCCUUGAUGUGUGCCCCCAAAGGAAGAGCCAGGGGGAGGGGUAGCUGGAGGCAGGCAGCGCGCACUAAGAAGUUAAGAGCGCAGGAAAGUCGUGUGACCCGAGAUCGCCUGUCCUUCCAGCUGAAACUCCUGAGUGCAGAUCCAGCUCCGCUGAAAGAGUCCUGCCCUGAUGGGCCCACAGUCCCCACUCCUGCUCGUGACAGCAGAAGUGAGCCAGAGCCAGGGCAGGGGACAGGCCCAGACUGGCAGAGGAGUGUAAGAGGCGGCACAACCCGCCCGCCCGCAGCUCUGGGACGCUCAGGCUUCACCUUCUCUCGCCAGGGCCAGAGUCCCCGCCCAGCCCCAGACCCCCGGCCUGUCCCCGGCAGGAACGGCCAGGCUAACCCUGCCACCCCUGCAGAGACAACGCUAAGGGAGAAAAGAGGCUCCGCUGAGGACCCCAGAAAGGCGGGAGGAGCGCGCUCCCUCCCACGGGAAAGACAGAUGUGGGGCUAAUAAAAGGGAGGCAGAAAGAGGCGCGGGGCUGCGGGGGCGCGGCAGGGGACAGGAGCUCCCAGUAGGGAGAGGAUCGGAUCGCGGGGAGGUCCGCCGCGCCGUCGGGAGGAAGAAGGCGCCGGGGAGAGGGGCCGGGAGGGGACGCGCAGUUUGGCCCGAGGGUCCCGAGCUGAAACUCAACACCCGCCUUCGGAGGGAUCGUCCUCCUUUCUCCUCCGCCCCUUCCCUCCCCUCCCUUUUCCCCUCCCUCCUUUCUUAAUCCCCAGGACCGAGCCCCGCGCCAGAGCGGAGAGGGCCCGGGGGAGGAGAAAGGAACCGCACUGAGAGGGAGCGGGAGCGCGGGUGC